This is a long non-coding RNA of Ornithodoros turicata, 322 nucleotides long. RefSeq lists it as uncharacterized. NCBI's taxonomy places the organism in Eukaryota, Metazoa, Arthropoda, Arachnida, Ixodida, Argasidae. The transcript has 3 exons. The record is from RefSeq and is a predicted model, not a curated record.
GAAGAAAACUCGUUGCCUUGUACAAUUUUUUCGCUAAGUACUGCAGUACGCACACGAUCCAAAAGUCUAAGAAUGAGCAGCAGCUGUUUGUAAGGAACGUACUGCGUGCCAAAAUAAGAGACCUGACAAAAACUCGCAAGAUACAAAAGAUGAGAGAAGCCCUGAGGUCACCGUGAUCAGAAGAACAGAGCUUUCGUGAACAGUCCAAAAGCACAGACAACUAUAUCACCAGGAUGUGCUCUCCCCCGUUUUUUAUGUUAAGAACCACUUCAGUUUUUGUGGUGCCUACAGGUUUGGAUUGAAGAUUAUCAUUGUAUACCUU